UAGGGCCAUGGAAGGAUAUCAUAUACUUAAGGGUUCAAAGAUGAAGAAAAAAAGGAGUUGUGUCUCUCCUAAAUCUCAUAAACAAAAAGGAAAUUAUGAGUGCGGAUACUAUGUAAUGUAGACAAUGCAUACUAUUGUCGAUUCACAAAUAGUAUCUGGGUGGACUGAAAUAUUUAUAGAUCGAUCACCAUUGUCGCUAGAAGACAUAAACAUCAUUAGGGAGUAAUGGGCCACAUUUUUUAUUGACCAUUACUUUAACUAGU
Molecule: non-coding RNA, 263 nt
Organism: Cajanus cajan (pigeon pea)
Lineage: Eukaryota; Viridiplantae; Streptophyta; Magnoliopsida; Fabales; Fabaceae
Source: RefSeq, a predicted model, not a curated record